RNAcentral lists this ribosomal RNA (252 nucleotides) under uncultured prokaryote. RNAcentral's name for it is "partial 16S ribosomal RNA". It matches the Rfam family "Bacterial small subunit ribosomal RNA", at positions 525 to 777 of the family's 1533-position model. The record is from RNAcentral.
ACGUAGGGGGCAAGCGUUGUCCGGAAUUAUUGGGCGUAAAGCGCGCGCAGGCGGUCAUUUAAGUCUGGUGUUUAAUCCCGGGGCUCAACCCCGGAUCGCACUGGAAACUGGGUGACUUGAGUGCAGAAGAGGAGAGUGGAAUUCCACGUGUAGCGGUGAAAUGCGUAGAGAUGUGGAGGAACACCAGUGGCGAAGGCGACUCUCUGGGCUGUAACUGACGCUGAGGCGCGAAAGCGUGGGGAGCAAACAGGA